RNAcentral lists this ribosomal RNA (440 nucleotides) under uncultured bacterium. RNAcentral's name for it is "partial 16S ribosomal RNA". It matches the Rfam family "Bacterial small subunit ribosomal RNA", at positions 338 to 795 of the family's 1533-position model. The record is from RNAcentral.
CCUACGAGUGGCAGCAGUGGGGAAUAUUGCACAAUGGGGGAAACCCUGAUGCAGCGACGCCGCGUGAGUGAAGAAGUAUUUCGGUAUGUAAAGCUCUAUCAGCAGGGAAGAAAAUGACGGUACCUGAUUCAGAAGCCCCGGCUAACUACGUGCCAGCCGCCGCGGUAAUACGUAGGGGGCAAGCGUUAUCCGGAUUUACUGGGUGUAAAGGGAGCGUAGACGGUGAUGCAAGUCAGAAGUGAAAGCCCGGGGCUCAACUCCGGGACUGCUUUUGAAACUGUGUGACUGGAGAGCAGGAGAGGUAAGCGGAAUGCCUGGUGUAGCGGUGAAAUGCGUAGAUAUCAGGAGGAACACCAGUGGCGAAGGCGGCUUACUGGACUGUAACUGACGUUGAGGCUCGAAAGCGUGGGGAGCAAACAGGAUUAGAUACCCUUGUAGUC